This 44-nucleotide ribosomal RNA is filed under the name Malacocera tricornis. RNAcentral's name for it is "partial 28S ribosomal RNA". The record is from RNAcentral. Lineage: Eukaryota; Viridiplantae; Streptophyta; Magnoliopsida; Caryophyllales; Amaranthaceae.
UGCGACCCCAGGUCAGCGGGGCUACCCGCUGAGUUUAAGCAUAU